RNA transcript from Drosophila pseudoobscura, 7678 nucleotides. It is a transcript of the gene named Exchange factor for Arf 6, with no coding region annotated. Lineage: Eukaryota; Metazoa; Arthropoda; Insecta; Diptera; Drosophilidae. The record is from RefSeq and is a predicted model, not a curated record. The transcript has 15 exons.
UUCCGAGGGUCGGACGAUAUAUUUUAUCGAUAACUCCGCGGUCACACUGAAAACAACGUCGCGCAUUUUUCCUCCGAGUUAAAAAAAAUGAAUUAAUCACCAUUAAAUGCUGGUAAAAGAAAAACGGAAAUGUUACUAAUAACAGCAACACGCAAACGCGCUAGAAUGUGCGGUUGAACCACUGUGAUCCGUGGCAGCGACACGCAGCAAAGCAGCCACUGCGGCGGCGGCUAACACAAAAAAAAGAAGAGAAAAACGAAGAAAAAGGAAAAAAUUAAACAAGUUUUCGUGAUGCGGUGGCCGUUGGAAAUUUGCGUUUAAAGAGUUAAGGCUGCGCCCAGCCAGCCGCGAGAAAAAGUGCAAUCAAACAAUUAAACAAAAAUGAUAAACAAAAUCCGCGAAGGAGUCGAUUUUAAAGCUGUAAUUGUGUCGUGAGAGUGAUGAGUGUGUGUGCGUGUUGUGAGUGCGUUUUGUGUCUGUUCUCUGUGUGUGCAAAUGACUGCUCAAAAGAAGUGCUGAAGUGGCGGCAGAGGUAGCAGCGGCGGCAGAGGUAGUGUUAGCCAAGCCCAAAACGAACGCGAAUAAAGCUAGCAGUACAAAUUAAAUAUAUAUAUGAAAAAGUUAUAAACAUAAGAGUGUGAGCCAAGCAGUACUGCACUGAAACAGCAGCAGGAGCAGCGACAUCACAGCACACGCACAGGGAGCGGCAUCUUUUUUGGGGCUGAAGGCGCAGACGGACGGCGGACACGGCGCAAUGACCGAGGAAUUGAAAGUGGUGCUGCGACGCAGCGAACAGCAUUCCGGUUUCGGGUUUUCGCUGCUUGGAUCAACUGGACCGCCACAUGUCAUCUACGACAUUGUGGAGAAUUCGCCGGCAGCAGAUUGCGGAUCGGUUGAAGCCGGGGAUGUCAUCCUCAAAGUCAAUGGAACCGAUGUCCAUCGCUAUACAACGAAGGAGGUUCUCAAAUGCCUGCGAUUGUCCGAACAGUUGGUGACCUUGGAACUGAAGCGAGAUCCUAAGCUCAAGGCACGAAUUAAAGAGCAGCUGGCCAACACACAGAGUCCACACUAUGUGGAUAUUGAAUCUCCCAACAUCUACGACUACAGCAGCAGCCACAGCGCCAAUUCCUCACCCAACCAUCGUCCGAACAACAGCAAGGUAUCUUCUCCGGCGGCGGCCAGCGGACUGCGCUUCAAGUCGCCCACACACUUGCCAUCGCUGCGGCAGAACUCCUCGACGCUGCUGGCCAGUGGAUCCACCACUACGACCACCCACACACACAGCCGCAACUCCUCGGCCAGCUCCACAAAGAUAAAGGUGGUGGAGACCACCAUUCAGACGACAUCAUCAACCAUCACCACAAGUGCAGCGCCAACGUCGCCAACGGGCUCGGACGCCACCUCGCCCACGCACCGACCCUCACGCAUUCCACAGGCGCGAAAGUGCCCGGCGCCCAAGCCCGUGCCCGUGCUCCAUUCGCCACAAAAUAAGCGGCCACGCUCCUCGCAGAUACCCACAAAGGCAUCGAACGGCAACGGCAACGGUAACGGGAGUGCACACAACUCCCAGCUGCCACCGCAAUUGUUGCAGCACUCGAACAGCUACAGCGGCAGUCCCGUGACCCGGCCACGGAUCUCCACAGAGCGCGAGCCGGACACAGAGAGGGAACCAGAACCGAAUUCGGCACCACCGCAAUCGGCGAAGGCGCCACGCUUUGAGGCUUUCAUGAUGACGGGAGAUCUGAUCUUGAAUCUGUCCAGGACACCACAGACCAGCAAUCACCUAACGACCCAGGCCAAGAAGGUUGACAGUCUGCGUGAUUCGCCGAUUCGUCAGGCCAAUUCCCGGAUGAAUGGCGCCCUAGCGCCCCGAGCUUCGGGAGAAUCCUCGCCCACAUCCUCUUCCUCGGUGGACUCGCCCACCAACACCAGCUCGGAUUCGGUGAAGCGUGAGGCGAAGCUGCAGCGCAAACAACACCCGCAGCAGCAGCAGCAACAUCAGCAGCAGCGGGACAGCAUCAACAACAGCUACAACCGUAAGGAUUCGCUCACCAACGACACGCUGCUGAUGUGCGAGGAGCUGGAGCGCGAUGAGGAGGGCGAGUAUGUGCUCGAGGAGGACAGCAAGCAUCAGCAUCAGCGUCAACGCCAGCACCAGCAACGCUAUCGUCAGCAGCAGCAGCAGCAACGAUACGAGUACUACCAGAACGAUGACGAGCUGGACGAGGAGCAGGAGCAGGAGGUGGAAGCAGAGGCGGAGGAGGAGCGCGAGGAGGAUCAGACCCACUACGACAUCACCAACAUAGAGACGUACCAGAGCGGGAUGGGGCGCGGCGAUGAGGAUGACAGCGACCGCCAGUGCCUGGUCGAAGACGACGAUGACGAUGACGAUGCCUACGACGAGGAGGAGAACGAUGCCGGCGACGAGGAUUACUCAACCAAUUCGCUGGGCUCCGGAUCUACGAAGCAGCGACUGCGCGCCCUCAAGCAGCGUGCCGCAACGCGACAACAGCAGCAGCGCAAUCGAGAUGCGGUCGAUUGUGCUGCCCGCAUGCCCGGCUACUCUGCCUCGGGCUCCACCUCGUCCACAACGGUCAAGAGUGAGGCGGCCGGCGGCAUGGGCAUUCCCAUGGGCGUGGGGCUGGGCGCAGCCAAUACCUCGCAGGACGAGACCUCCUUCUCAGUGCCAACAUCGCCCAUUUCGCUGUCGACGCCCCUGAUCGACAAGGAGACGGCCAAUUCGGUGCCCACCAGCCCGGAGCCGAGCUCUUUGGCUCCCGAGUCGAGUAGUGGGGCUGCUGGUGUCGUUGUUGUGCGACGCCACCACAACGGGCAUGUGGUGCGCAAAUGCGAUGCCGCCGGCUUCCGCACCAGCAAGUCCGAGGAUCAUCUGCAGCAGAUCCAGCGCGAGGGCAUUGCGGCUGUGAUACCCAUCGACAUUGAUGAGGAUGUGAAUAGUUCACUCAAUACGCUGCUGGACACGCGUCAGGACUCCGAGGACUCGCAGUCGACGGCCACCACUGCAUCGUCGGUGGCCACCAUUGUACACAACUCGUCGGCGUUGAACAACAACGAGAACGAGAAUGAGAUUGAGAGUGAACCGCUGAAUAGCCGCAACAACAACAGUGCCGCAACAACAACCACAACAAUAGGGAACAACAAUAGCAGCGAGACCGAAAACGAGACCGAGAGCGAGUGCGAGGGCGAGGGCGAAAGCAGUGUAGCAGCAACAGCAACGACUGCCACGAGAACUAACAAGAAGAUGAUCGGAAGCAACUGCAGCAACAAAUUAAACUAUAUCCUAUGCAAAAAGGCAUCGGAUCGAGAUCGGAUUGUGUGGACCUAUAAUGCACCACUGCAGCCGCAUCAGCUGCAGCAGAUCCAACAGCAGCAGCAGCAACAACAGCUUCAUCAGCAACAGCAGCAACAAAUACUAUUGCAGCAGCAACAACAGCAACAGCAGCAACAACAACAACAACAGCAGCAGCAGCAAUUCUACGGUCAGCAAUCGCAUUCAAAUUCACAUUCAAGUUCCAUUAGUUCGUCGCCGCAGCAUUCGGCUGCCGGCAGUCCUGCCUCCCCCACAUCGGUAUCCUCGUCGGUGAUGUCCUCGUCGGGCUCAAAGGGUGCCCUCGGUGCCGUGGGUGGCAAUGGUCAGGCAGCGGACCAGCAGCAGCAGCAGCUAGAGCAGCGAGAACAAGGCGGAACAGCCUCCCUGCAGCCGCCCUCCGGCAUGCCCGGUCUGCUAGCCUGUCCAGGGACUGGCAAUGGUGCUGGUGGUGGUGGUGUUGGUUGUAACAACGAUCUGAGCGUCUCAGAGGCCAUUUCGAAUAUAUCUAGUCCCGACUACCAAGACGACGAUAACUUAUUGAGUUCUCGCGAUAUUCUAGGCGGCAUGGUACUUAGCGAUCCCAGUGACUCGGACUCCACCAUACUCGUCUCGGAUGGGGCCGCCCUGCAGCGCCAGCAGCUCAAGCAACAGCUGCGUGCCCAGCAGCAGCAACAGAGGGACAGGGACAGAGAUCAGUCGGAGCACAAGGUGGUCAUCCAAGUGCGCGGCAUGGACAACAACGGCGGUGGCGGUGGCAGUGCGGCUCGGUCCGAGGACGAUGUGGUCACGCUGACGGAUGAGCAGCCGCAUACAACGAUGUCGUCGGGGGCUGGGGCGGGGGCGCAGGGCACGCGAGACGCCUCGCCACCCGUCUCCGAUGAUGGCAGCGAUGUGGAAUCACUGCACUCCUACCAUUACUCGCCCAAGGCUGUGGACAUGCCCUCGGCCAUACGCCUGGCUAAAAGACUGUAUUCCCUCGAUGGUUUCAAGAAGAGCGACGUCUCCCGGCAUCUCAGCAAGAACAACGACUUUAGCAGGGCUGUGGCCGAUGAGUAUCUAAAGCAUUUCACCUUUGAGAAAAAGUCGCUGGACCAGUCGCUGCGCGAGUUCCUGCAACAGUUCUCGCUCUCCGGCGAGACCCAGGAGCGAGAGCGGGUGCUAGUGCACUUCUCGAAACGUUUUCUGGACUGCAAUCCGGGUACCUUCAACUCGCAGGAUGCGGUGCACACGCUGACCUGUGCCAUAAUGCUUCUGAACACGGAUCUGCAUGGGCAGAAUAUGAAUCGUAAAAUGAGCUGUGCGGAAUUUGUCGACAAUCUGGCAGAUCUCAACGAUGGCGAGAACUUUCCCAAGGAUAUACUCAAGUUGUUGUAUCAGGCCAUCAAAACGAAGCCGCUGGAAUGGGCGCUAGAUGACGAUGCGGGUGAUCUGCAGCAGCGGGGCAACAAUGCACUGGGAAAUGUUGGACAGAAUCCCUUCCUGGAUGCACCCGAACUGGCCACCGCUGUGGAGUACAAGAAGGGCUAUGUGAUGCGCAAAUGCUGCUACGAUAGCAGCUACAAAAAGACUCCCUUCGGCAAACGCUCCUGGAAGAUGUUCUACUGCACGCUGCGUGAUCUGGUUCUGUAUCUGCAUAAGGAUGAGCAUGGUUUUCGCAAGAGUCAAAUGUCCGACAAUCUGCACAAUGCAAUACGCAUACAUCACGCCCUGGCCACCAAGGCCAAUGACUACACCAAGAAGCAACAUGUGUUCCGUCUGCAGACAUCCGAUCAAGCCGAGUAUCUCUUCCAGACAAGCGACUCCAAGGAGCUCCACUCGUGGGUCGAGACGAUCAAUUACGUGUGCGCCGCCAUUUCGGCGCCGCCACUCGAGGGCGGCGUGGGCAGCCAGAAGCGAUUCCAGCGCCCACUCUUGCCCAGCAAGCAGACAAAACUGAUGGUGAAGGAGCAAUUGGAGUCGCACGAGGUGCAGCUGGCGCAGCUAGAGCAGGAGCUCAAUGAGCACAAGAAGGGGCCGAUACCCAGCAAGGGCUUGCCACUGCAGAACUACAAGGAGAAGGAGAGCUAUUUGCAAUAUGAACUGCGUCGCUACCGCACCUAUGUGAGCAUACUUAGCGCCAAAAUGCUAGCCGAUCAGCAGCAAUUGGAGCUGCAGGCGCUGCAGCCCACGCAGGCAAUCCUUGACGAAGAAGCCGACACAUUCCCCGUGGGCAACAGCUGCUCGCCCACCACGCCGCCAAGUAUUAACAUUCAGGAGCAACAGCAGAAGGAACAGCAACGGCAGCCACAUUCAUCGAACAGAUGGCUCGAUGUCUUCUGCUGCUGUAGCGUGCUCUGGCGGCAUUUCCAAAAGCCUUUAAACGAGUAGUAGACUCUUGCCUGGAGGCUAGCGAUCCGCGGACAGCAGUCCAACGAAGGUGCUUCUCUCUCUGUAAAUGACCCGACCUGUACCUACUAGCCUGUCUUGAAUGUGAGCAAGCUAUGGGCUACAUAUAUCUCAAUGUUUUAUUGCUUACUCUUCAGUGUCUAGCUUGGCUCCACAUCUUUAUAUCGAACAUUUCAGAACCUCUUUUGUUCGGUGAUUGCUAAUUUUGGUUUUCAUUCUAAACUUACAGAAAGGAGAAAAAAUUCGUUUAAUUACUUUUCGUUUCGCUCUUGAUUUCGAUCAUUUCAACCCUGCAACACACAAACAAACACACACACAUCCGCAUCCGCCUCCUGGCAGUCGAGAUGAUGCAGUGAUGCAAUGCUCAUGAAUAUAGAAUACUCCGAAUAUGCCACGCUGCCACUUAACACCACACCACACACUCGUAUAAACAGCACUCAUGCAGCAGGGAGCGGGAGCGGUAAAGAGAGAGAGAGGCUCCAACCACACACCCACCCCAUCACACACACACUCACGCGUUCCGGCUGUGCCGUGCCGUGCCGUGCGGCACCCACUCAACAAACAAACACAACAAAAAAUCUGCCAAUACAUUAAUCCUACUUUACCGUUCGAAUGAUUCCAAGUGCCGGAUCUUAAGGUUAAGCGGAAGAUCAAUUUGAGAUGAUUAAGACUACAAAUACGAACCCAAUUUGUAAUCGAAUUUGUUAACUUGUAUGAGAUGGUUUUAUGUACUAUGUAAUCUGAGACGGUCGUUCAACAGAGAUAUUUGGCAUUUCGAUUUAGAUUUGUUUGCCAGGGAUUCUGUUUAACGACCGUUUAAGAACGUGAGGGCGAAUCGCUUAUACACAUAGAUUAUAAUUACGAGAAUUGAUAUACAAUACUUACAUCAUUACCUAUGCUAUCAUUAUAAAUGAUAAAAAUAAAUUAUAAAUUAUUGAACAAUUUCGCUACACACACACCACACACACACACACACACGCGCGAACAACUGAAGAACAGUAACAAUAAAACGAUGAGAGGAUCAGAAGAUCAGAGGAGCACAUUAGCUACCAUUAUCAUAAGCAAUAAUCGUACAUAUAUCAUACAUACAUAGCACACAUAUGCUUCAAAUAUAUGACUCGUUCAUUGGCCUUUUUGCGAUAGAUUAUCCUAUUUGAUCUGUGUAGGGAACACAACAACAACUUACUCCAAUAUUAUGUGCGGAUGAGUAAUAUUUAUUUGAGCAAUUAUCGGUUGAUUACGCCACAUGUCCAUGUAGCUAGAAUAUGAAAUUGAUAUUUGAUGGGGAAACAAUAAAUCUAAAGAACAACAAAACAUACAUAUACGAGUAUAUAGUAUAUAUAUUAUAUAUUUUUGAAUAUAUUAUUACGAGUAUAUUAUAUUGUAUUGUGUAAUUAUGUAAAUGCAAACUGUAUAACAUUGUUUAUAAUAAUUUUUAACAAUUCUUCUGGAACGGCAAUAAAUUCGAAAAUACCAACUAACUGAAGCGAACACUCGCUUGCUCGCUCGCUCGCCCGCUAAACCAAGCGCCUAAAUGUAUGCAUAUUGUAUAUUGAUUUAGUUACAACAUUUUUAAAGGCUCUGCGAGGGCAGCCCCCACACUCACUCACCUCACUCACUCACUCACUUAGUUUUAAAGCAAUACGAGUACUAUCCGUAACCCUUUGAACCCAGAACCCCAAAAACCACACCGACACACACGAGCAUUCUCAUCUAAGAACUUCAGAACAUAUUACGAAAAAGGGAAACAAGAACGCGCAUUGUAGAGGCGGUGAUUUUUAUGUGAACAUUUAUUACUAACUGAUAAGCUUUGAGUAACUUUAGGAAAGCCGUUAUACUAUACAGAUACACAUAUAUAUACAUAUAUAUGUACAUAUAUACGAGUUAUAUAUAGUAUACAUGUAUAUGCUCAUGUGAGCAGCCCAAUAUGAAUGAUACAUUAAAUACUUCCAAAAACAUUAA